AGUGAACGCUGGCGGUAGGCCUAACACAUGCAAGUCGAACGGCAGCACAGUAAGAGCUUGCUCUUACGGGUGGCGAGUGGCGGACGGGCGAGGAAUACAUCGGAAUCUACUUUUUCGUGGGGGAUAACGUAGGGAAACUUACGCUAAUACCGCAUACGACCUACGGGUGAAAGCAGGGGAUCUUCGGACCUUGCGCGAUUGAAUGAGCCGAUGUCGGAUUAGCUAGUUGGCGGGGUAAAGGCCCACCAAGGCGACGAUCCGUAGCUGGUCUGAGAGGAUGAUCAGCCACACUGGAACUGAGACACGGUCCAGACUCCUACGGGAGACAGCAGUGGGGAAUAUUGGACAAUGGGCGCAAGCCUGAUCCAGCCAUACCGCGUGGGUGAAGAAGGCCUUCGGGUUGUAAAGCCCUUUUGUUGGGAAAGAAAAGCAGCAGGUUAAUACCCCGCUGUUCUGACGGUACCCAAAGAAUAAGCACCGGCUAACUUCGUG
RNAcentral lists this ribosomal RNA (492 nucleotides) under uncultured bacterium. RNAcentral describes it as "partial 16S ribosomal RNA". It matches the Rfam family "Bacterial small subunit ribosomal RNA", at positions 29 to 507 of the family's 1533-position model. The record is from RNAcentral.